This is a ribosomal RNA of Capra hircus (goat), 119 nucleotides long. The record is from Ensembl. Lineage: Eukaryota; Metazoa; Chordata; Mammalia; Artiodactyla; Bovidae.
UACGGCCAUACUACUACCCUGGAUGUGCCCAAUCUCAUCUGAUCUGGGAAGCAAAGCAGGGUCAGGCCUGGUUAGUACAGGGGGUUAGGGAAACAAAGGAGAGACAGGAAACGCAGUGA